UACGGAGGGAGCUAGCGUUGUUCGGAAUUACUGGGCGUAAAGCGCACGUAGGCGGCUUUGUAAGUUAGAGGUGAAAGCCCCAGGGCUCAACCCUGGAAUUGCCUUUAAGACUGCAUCGCUUGAACAUCGGAGAGGUAAGUGGAAUUCCGAGUGUAGAGGUGAAAUUCGUAGAUAUUCGGAAGAACACCAGUGGCGAAGGCGACUUACUGGACGAUUGUUGACGCUGAGGUGCGAAAGCGUGGGGAGCAAACAGG
Molecule: ribosomal RNA, 254 nt
Filed under: uncultured bacterium
Lineage: Bacteria
Description: partial 16S ribosomal RNA
Rfam family: Bacterial small subunit ribosomal RNA
Source: RNAcentral